AUUGAACGCUGGCGGCAGGCUUAACACAUGCAAGUCGAGCGGGUGAGGUUGCUUCGGUAACUGAGCUAGCGGCGGACGGGUGAGUAAUGCUUAGGAAUCUGCCUAUUAGUGGGGGACAACAUUCCGAAAGGAAUGCUAAUACCGCAUACGCCCUACGGGGGAAAGCAGGGGAUCUUCGGACCUUGCGCUAAUAGAUGAGCCUAAGUCAGAUUAGCUAGUUGGUGGGGUAAAGGCCUACCAAGGCGACGAUCUGUAGCGGGUCUGAGAGGAUGAUCCGCCACACUGGGACUGAGACACGGCCCAGACUCCUACGGGAGGCAGCAGUGGGGAAUAUUGGACAAUGGGCGAAAGCCUGAUCCAGCCAUGCCGCGUGUGUGAAGAAGGCCUUUUGGUUGUAAAGCACUUUAAGCGAGGAGGAGGCUACUUGGAUUAAUACUCUAGGAUAGUGGACGUUACUCGCAGAAUAAGCACCGGCUAACUCUGUGCCAGCCGCCGCGGUAA
Molecule: ribosomal RNA, 501 nt
Filed under: uncultured bacterium
Lineage: Bacteria
Description: partial 16S ribosomal RNA
Rfam family: Bacterial small subunit ribosomal RNA
Source: RNAcentral